RNAcentral lists this ribosomal RNA (377 nucleotides) under uncultured eukaryote. RNAcentral describes it as "bacterial SSU rRNA". It matches the Rfam family "Eukaryotic small subunit ribosomal RNA", at positions 592 to 975 of the family's 1831-position model. The record is from RNAcentral.
CAGUAGCGUAUAUUAAAGUUGUUGCAGUUAAAAAGCUCGUAGUUGGAUUUCUGUAUUAAUUGCAUUUGGCCCGUAUCUUCGUGAUAUGUGUGCGCCGAAUUGCUUAAUACAUCUAUCUAAGAAAAUUUUAUUUAUAAAAUUAUUUUAGAUCUUUUACUUUGAAAAAUUAGAGUGUUCAAAGCAGGCGUUUUUUGCUGUGAAUAUAUUAGCAUGGAAUAAUAAUUUAGGACUUUUGUUUCUAUUUUGUUGGUCUAGGACAAAAGUAAUGAUUGAUAGGGACAUUGGGGGUGGCUCGUAUUCAAUGGCCAGUGGUGAAAUACGUUGAUUCAUUGAAGACGAACUUAUGCGAAAGCAUUCACCAAGGAUGUUUUUCAUUG